This 248-nucleotide RNase P RNA is filed under the name Spirochaetales bacterium. RNAcentral describes it as "partial RNase P RNA component class A". It matches the Rfam family "Bacterial RNase P class A", at positions 1 to 245 of the family's 367-position model. Rfam says of the family: Ribonuclease P (RNase P) is a ubiquitous endoribonuclease, found in archaea, bacteria and eukarya as well as chloroplasts and mitochondria. The record is from RNAcentral. Lineage: Bacteria; Pseudomonadati; Spirochaetota; Spirochaetia; Spirochaetales.
GGAGGGGAGCACGCGGCCGCGCUGGCCCGCCGCGAGGCGGGCGGUGAGGAAAGUCCGAACACCGCAGGGCAGGAUGCCGGGUAACGCCCGGGCGCCGCGAGGCGAUGGAAAGUGCAACAGAAAACAUACCGCCCGGCGCGAAAUCGCCGGGUAAGGGUGAAAUGGCGAGGUAAGAGCUCACCGCGUCUGCCGCAAGACAGACGGCAGUGUAAACCCCGUCCGGUGCAAGACCAAGCAUGCAACCGUUU